UGCUGAACAGCUCAGUUGGUAGAGCAUGAGACUCUUAAUUUCAGGGUUGUGGGUUCGAGUCCCGUGUCGGGAG
Molecule: non-coding RNA, 73 nt
Organism: Podarcis lilfordi (Lilford's wall lizard)
Lineage: Eukaryota; Metazoa; Chordata; Lepidosauria; Squamata; Lacertidae
Source: the annotation of a GenBank genome assembly